This 334-nucleotide ribosomal RNA is filed under the name uncultured eukaryote. Its description in RNAcentral is "partial 18S ribosomal RNA". It matches the Rfam family "Eukaryotic small subunit ribosomal RNA", at positions 1470 to 1796 of the family's 1831-position model. The record is from RNAcentral.
CCCUUAGAUGUCCGGGGCCGCACGCGCGCUACACUGAAGGAAUCAGCGUGGCUUUCUCCCUGACCCGAAAUGGUUGGGAAACCCGUUGAAUCUCCUUCGUGAUAGGGAUUGGGGCUUGAAAUUGUUCCCCAUGAACGAGGAAUUCCCAGUAAGCGCGAGUCAUAAGCUCGCGUUGAUUACGUCCCUGCCCUUUGUACACACCGCCCGUCGCUACUACCGAUUGAACGGUUUAGUGAGGGCCUCGGAUUGGUCUCGGCCCGCUCUUUACCGGGCGGCGCCGUUGGUCGAGAAGACGCUCGAACUUGAUCGUUUAGAGGAAGUAAAAGUCGUAACA